RNAcentral lists this ribosomal RNA (377 nucleotides) under uncultured bacterium. Its description in RNAcentral is "bacterial SSU rRNA". It matches the Rfam family "Bacterial small subunit ribosomal RNA", at positions 523 to 898 of the family's 1533-position model. The record is from RNAcentral.
AUACGUAGGUGGCAAGCGUUAUCCGGAUUUAUUGGGCGUAAAGCGAGCGCAGGCGGUUUUUUAAGUCUGAUGUGAAAGCCCUUGGCUCAACCAAGGAAGUGCAUUGGAAACUGGAGAACUUGAGUGCAGAAGAGGACAGUGGAACUCCAUGUGUAGCGGUGAAAUGCGUAGAUAUAUGGAAGAACACCAGUGGCGAAGGCGGCUGUCUGGUCUGUAACUGACGCUGAGGCUCGAAAGCAUGGGUAGCGAACAGGAUUAGAUACCCUGGUAGUCCAUGCCGUAAACGAUGAAUGCUAGGUGUUGGAGGGUUUCCGCCCUUCAGUGCCGCAGCUAACGCAUUAAGUACCCCGCCUGGGGAGUACGGCCGCAAGGCUAAA